Zingiber officinale is the source of this 1073-nucleotide long non-coding RNA. RefSeq lists it as uncharacterized. NCBI's taxonomy places the organism in Eukaryota, Viridiplantae, Streptophyta, Magnoliopsida, Zingiberales, Zingiberaceae. The transcript has 2 exons. The record is from RefSeq and is a predicted model, not a curated record.
CUUCCUUUUCUUUCCCAAUUUUCCUUACCACCGCCGCUCAAUCUCCCUUCUUUCGUUCCCUGCCCGAUUCUCACCUCACAAGCGCCACCCUCUCCCCAAAUCCACCGUCGGCCUCUUCUUCUUCCUUGAGCCACAGUCGUCGGUCUCCUUCACCUCUUCUUCUUACGCGAUCUCACUCGAUCGCCGAUGGUGUCUCCGCUGCCUCGUCGCGCGCCAGCACUGAUCGAUUGCCGACGCCGCCGUGGAAGGAGGGAGUUGCUGACCUCUUCAUCGCCAGUCUUCUCCCUUCUCUCUGUGGAGUCUUUCCCCUCUUUCCCGUGAUUUACCCUCGCCCGAUCGCCGGUUGCUCGUGAGCUCACCGUCGACGGAGGCCUUCGCCUCACCUGGCUACUGGACUGACCCGAUUCAAGUCGCUUCUCCUUCUUCCUCAGCGCCGAUUCACUGCUGUCUUCCUCCUACUGGUUGCGGACACCCGACGCCAAGCCAUGUCCAGCUUCUUACUAUCUGUGCAAUGGUUUGCCAAGGAACAGAGAUGGAGUUGGGAGAUCGAUUUGCCCUUUCACAUGCUGACGGGACCUAGGGCAAUAGCUACUAUGCUAUUGUUUUGUGCUGCAUUCAACAGCUGAUCAUUGGUGAACCUGCUGCCCUGCUGCCACUGUGGAGCCAUCUUUCCAUUGGAUUCGACAAGGGGGAUCUCCACCCAGCUAUUACAGAACAAAUUGGGGUAGCAGGUAGAUGAAUCAAGGUCCGACGUCACACUCGAGGACAGUUUCUUUUUAAUCUUAUUUCUGUUUGGUAGUAAAGUGAUUUUGCGCAUUUUUGUUUUCUAAUAAGUCGAUGUGGAUUUUGGAGUCUAGUGUGGUGGUUGCAGAUAUUUUAGUUAGUGACUUUGUUGGUUUUACAUUUGUGUGAUUUUAUGAUUUUUCAUUGUACUUUCAGUCGUGUGGGCUGUUAUUAUACUGCCUGAUUGUGUGUUUACUUUCAACCGUGUAAGCUUAUUAAACUGUGUGGUUAUGCUUAUAUCCAGCCGUGUGGGAUGUUGAAAAUGUUAUAUGUUGUGUAUGUAUUUAUUA